This 492-nucleotide ribosomal RNA is filed under the name uncultured bacterium. RNAcentral describes it as "partial 16S ribosomal RNA". It matches the Rfam family "Bacterial small subunit ribosomal RNA", at positions 29 to 507 of the family's 1533-position model. The record is from RNAcentral.
AGUGAACGCUGGCGGUAGGCCUAACACAUGCAAGUCGAACGGCAGCACAGUAAGAGCUUGCUCUUACGGGUGGCGAGUGGCGGACGGGUGAGGAAUACAUCGGAAUCUACUUUUUCGUGGGGGAUAACGUAGGGAAACUUACGCUAAUACCGCAUACGACCUACGGGUGAAAGCAGGGGAUCUUCGGACCUUGGGCGAUUGAAUGAGCCGAUGUCGGAUUAGCUAGUUGGCGGGGUAAAGGCCCACCAAGGCGACGAUCCGUAGCUGGUCUGAGAGGAUGAUCAGCCACACUGGAACUGAGACACGGUCCAGACUCCUACGGGAGGCAGCAGUGGGGAAUAUUGGACAAUGGGCGCAAGCCUGAUCCAGCCAUACCGCGUGGGUGAAGAAGGUCUUCGGGUUGUAAAGCCCUUUUGUUGGGAAAGAAAAGCAGCAGGUUAAUACCCCGCUGUUCUGACGGUACCCAAAGAAUAAGCACCGGCUAACUUCGUG